This 997-nucleotide long non-coding RNA is filed under the name Fukomys damarensis (Damara mole-rat). RNAcentral's name for it is "lncRNA (ENSFDAG00000022784.1)". Lineage: Eukaryota; Metazoa; Chordata; Mammalia; Rodentia; Bathyergidae. The record is from RNAcentral.
GCAAUUACCACUUGGCUUCUGGCGACAAACAUGCCACGGAUAAAAAUGCUCAUGGUGGGCGGAAGUACAGGAGUCAAUGGGAGACAGAAAAACUCUAUCUCAAGAAUGGGGGUUAAGUAGGGCCAUCUGAAAUGGGAAUUUCCGUGAAGGAUGCAACCUUUGUGAAAAUAGGAUCGAAGGUGGAGGAAGCAACGCUUCCACAGCAGGUCUUGUGGCUGCACCCAGGGACCCACGCGAUUCACCGGAUGUGGAGCUUCCGAUGCAGCUCCUUGGCUAAAGCAAACCCCACACUCAUCCCCGCCCCGGAGGUGAGAGUCCCAUCCUACCGUCCCGCGUACGCCCGGGGAGCAGGCUGGCUGUGGAGUAGCACAAACGUGUGUGGCACUGUGUGCCCUGGGCCCUCGGGCUGCCAGCUCCCCUCGAUGCACAAGUGGCUUCUUCCAAGCAGAAGCUUGACCUCAGCUCCCCAUCACCACGUCCGGCCCCGGCUUCGGUGUGUAGUAGGUCUGCUGAAUACUGGCUGUGCUGGAUGGAUCUUUACUCCACGUACUGCCCGAAGCCUCUCGGGAUUUAUUGGUAAAAAUUUCAUCCUUAAUUAGUGAAAAAAAGAAACUCUUUCUAGGAGUUUAUAAAUUAUUUACCUUACAAACCCUUCUGAGUGCUUCAAGCACAGUGUAAAUAAUUUACAUUCAUACUUGUGUGAUUUCAAGUUUGUUUAGUAAUGUUAUCUUGGAGAUAGAAAACAAAGCUAAGUAAAGCCCACACUAACUUAUUUUGCAAAUCAUUUGCAAUGAGAAAACAAGGUGCUUUUCUUUUUAGGUGAAAAUGUUACUGACCCACGACUAGAGGGGUGUGAAGGCCUAGUUCUUUGCCAAUGGUGAGCAAAUCUUCCUGUUUCCCUAAGCCAUGGAAUUCACUUAUUUGCCAUUUAUUGAGUUCCGACCUUAUUCCAGGCACUGAAUGAAUCCCUAGAGUCUACACUGCUCAGCAUACCCAC